RNAcentral lists this ribosomal RNA (465 nucleotides) under Vreelandella stevensii. RNAcentral describes it as "partial 16S ribosomal RNA". It matches the Rfam family "Bacterial small subunit ribosomal RNA", at positions 338 to 795 of the family's 1533-position model. The record is from RNAcentral. Lineage: Bacteria; Pseudomonadati; Pseudomonadota; Gammaproteobacteria; Oceanospirillales; Halomonadaceae.
CCUACGGGUGGCAGCAGUGGGGAAUAUUGGACAAUGGGCGAAAGCCUGAUCCAGCCAUGCCGCGUGUGUGAAGAAGGCCUUCGGGUUGUAAAGCACUUUCAGUGGGGAAGAAAGCCUUGGGGCUAAUACCCUCGAGGAAGGACAUCACCCACAGAAGAAGCACCGGCUAACUCCGUGCCAGCAGCCGCGGUAAUACGGAGGGUGCGAGCGUUAAUCGGAAUUACUGGGCGUAAAGCGCGCGUAGGCGGUCUGAUAAGCCGGUUGUGAAAGCCCCGGGCUCAACCUGGGAACGGCAUCCGGAACUGUCAGGCUGGAGUGCGGGAGAGGAAGGUAGAAUUCCCGGUGUAGCGGUGAAAUGCGUAGAGACCGGGAGGAAUACCAGUGGCGAGGGCGGCCUUCUGGACUGACACUGACGCUGAGGUGCGAAAGCGGGGGUAGCAAACAGGAUUAGAUACCCUUGUAGUC